CCUACGGUGCGUCAGCAGUGAGGAAUAUUGGUCAAUGGACGCAAGUCUGAACCAGCAAUGCCGCGUGCAGGAAGACGGCUCUAUGAGUUGUAAACUGCUUUUGUACGAGGGUAAACGCAGACACGCGUAUCUGUCUGAAAGUAUCGUACGAAUAAGGAUCGGCUAACUCCGGGCCAGCAGCCACGGUAAUACGGAGGAUUCAAGCGUUAUCCGGAUUUAUUGGGUUUCAAGGGUGCGUAGGCGGUCGGAUAAGUUAGAGGUGAAAUCCCGAGGCUCAACUUCGGAAUUGCCUCUGAUACUGUUCGGCUAGAGAGUAGUUGCGGUAGGCGGAAUGUAUGGUGUAGCGGUGAAAUGCUUAGAGAUCAUACAGAACACCGAUUGCGAAGGCAGCUUACCAAGCUACUUCUGACGUUGAGGCACGAAAGCGUGGGGAGCAAACAGGAUUAGAUACCCUAGUAGUC
This 461-nucleotide ribosomal RNA is filed under the name uncultured bacterium. RNAcentral describes it as "partial 16S ribosomal RNA". It matches the Rfam family "Bacterial small subunit ribosomal RNA", at positions 338 to 795 of the family's 1533-position model. The record is from RNAcentral.